CAGCAGCCGCGGUAAUAUGAAGGGUGCAAGCGUUAAUCGGAAUUACUGGGCGUAAAGCGUGUGCAGGCGGUUCUAUAAGACAGAUGUGAAAUCCCCGGGCUCAACCUGGGAACUGCAUUUGUGACUGUAGAGCUCGAGUACGGUAGAGGGGGAUGGAAUUCCGCGUGUAGCAGUGAAAUGCGUAGAUAUGCGGAGGAACACCGAUGGCGAAGGCAAUCCCCUGGACCUGUACUGACGCUCAUGCACGAAAGCGUGGGGAGCAAACAGGAUUAGAUACCCCCGUAGUCCCUGUCUCUUAUAC
Molecule: ribosomal RNA, 301 nt
Filed under: uncultured bacterium
Lineage: Bacteria
Description: partial 16S ribosomal RNA
Rfam family: Bacterial small subunit ribosomal RNA
Source: RNAcentral